CCUACGGGUGGCAGCAGUGAGGAAUAUUGGUCAAUGGGAGGAAUCCUGAACCAGCCAUGCCGCGUGCGGGACGACGGCUCUACGAGUUUUCACCUGUUUUUGUACCGGGGUAAGACGCUCUAUGAGUAGGGUUUUGAAAGUACGGUACGAAUAAGGAUCGGCUAACUCCGUGCCAGCAGCCGCGGUAAUACGGAGGAUCCGGUCGGUAUCCGGAUUCAUUGGGUUUAAAGGGUGCGUAGGUUGUUGUAUGAGUUAGCUGUGAAAUACCGGUGCUCAACAUCGGGGCUGCCGCUGAUACUGUAGGACUAGAGAGCGGAUGCAGCAGGCGGAAUGUGUAGUGUAGCGGUGAAAUGCAUAGAGAUUACGCAGAACACCGAUUGCGAAGGCAGCUUGCUAGACCGGAACUGACGCUGAUGCACGAAAGCGUGGGGAUCGAACAGGAUUAGAUACCCCAGUAGUC
RNAcentral lists this ribosomal RNA (460 nucleotides) under uncultured bacterium. RNAcentral's name for it is "partial 16S ribosomal RNA". It matches the Rfam family "Bacterial small subunit ribosomal RNA", at positions 338 to 795 of the family's 1533-position model. The record is from RNAcentral.